Molecule: transfer RNA, 72 nt
Filed under: Beta vulgaris subsp. vulgaris (sugar beet)
Lineage: Eukaryota; Viridiplantae; Streptophyta; Magnoliopsida; Caryophyllales; Amaranthaceae
Rfam family: tRNA
About the family: Transfer RNA (tRNA) molecules are approximately 80 nucleotides in length. Their secondary structure includes four short double-helical elements and three loops (D, anti-codon, and T loops). Further hydrogen bonds mediate the characteristic L-shaped molecular structure. tRNAs have two regions of fundamental functional importance: the anti-codon, which is responsible for specific mRNA codon recognition, and the 3' end, to which the tRNAs corresponding amino acid is attached (by aminoacyl-tRNA synthetases). tRNAs cope with the degeneracy of the genetic code in two manners: having more than one tRNA (with a specific anti-codon) for a particular amino acid; and 'wobble' base-pairing, i.e. permitting non-standard base-pairing at the 3rd anti-codon position.
Source: Rfam by way of RNAcentral
AGGGAUGUAGCGCAGCUUGGUUGCGUUUGUUUUGCGUACAAAAUGUCACGGGUUCAAAUCAUGUCAUCCCUA